CGCCCUCGCGGAUCGAUCCUGGACUCGCGCACUCCUUGUAAACAACUCCGAACUGGUUUCUAGCCCUCACUCUUUUUCCUCUUUGCUGUCUUUCCCCGUCCAACAAACAUACAAAGAAGUACGCCAAAAGUUACUUGAGGAUAUAGGAAGAAGGCAGCUGUCUACAAGCCAGGAAGAGACCCUUACCAGACAUCAGAUCAGCUCGUGCCUUGAUCUUCUACUUCCCAGCUUCCAAAAACAUGAGAAAUAAAUAUUUAUUGUUUAAGCUA
Galeopterus variegatus (Sunda flying lemur) is the source of this 269-nucleotide long non-coding RNA. RefSeq lists it as uncharacterized. The record is from RefSeq and is a predicted model, not a curated record. The transcript has 2 exons. Lineage: Eukaryota; Metazoa; Chordata; Mammalia; Dermoptera; Cynocephalidae.